This 450-nucleotide ribosomal RNA is filed under the name Triticum aestivum (bread wheat). RNAcentral's name for it is "partial small subunit ribosomal RNA". Lineage: Eukaryota; Viridiplantae; Streptophyta; Magnoliopsida; Poales; Poaceae. The record is from RNAcentral.
AUGACGGUCAAGCAUAUCUCUUCACCAAGGUCGGACCACUGUGUGGUUGCGACAAGGAUAAGGAGAUUGGUUCAGACUGAGAACUGUGGGCCAAAACCAUUCAGGUACGAAGAUGCAUGGCAGAAGGAGGAGUCACAUGAUGCAGCUUUUAUGGAUGGUUGGGAGCAAAGGAUUGUCCAGGGUGGAUUAGCUGGGCUAAGCAACACACUGAUACAUAUGCAAGACCACCUUAGUGACGGGAAAAAUAAGAAGUUUGGAGACAUAAAGCGGAAAAUUCGAAAAGUACGUAAGGAGUUUGAAAGGGAGCGGUCUAAUGCUCUGUACCGUGGGACAUCUAGAAGAGAAAGGGAGUUAGCGAGGCAACUGAAUGACCUUCUACACAAGGAGGAGAUUAUGGCGAGGCAGCGAUCGAGGGUGGAUUGGCUGCGAGAAGGAGAUAGAAAUACGUGA